RNAcentral lists this ribosomal RNA (489 nucleotides) under uncultured bacterium. Its description in RNAcentral is "partial 16S ribosomal RNA". It matches the Rfam family "Bacterial small subunit ribosomal RNA", at positions 32 to 523 of the family's 1533-position model. The record is from RNAcentral.
AAUCAACGCUGGCGGCGUGCCUAACACAUGCAAGUCGAGCGAGAAAAGGGGAGCAAUCCCCUGAGUACAGCGGCGCACGGGUGAGUACCACGUGGGUAAUCUGCCCUGGAGUGGGGAAUAACACCGGGAAACCGGUGCUAAUACCGCAUACGAUCACAGAGUCUGCGGAUUUUGUGAUGAAAGGAGCAAUUCGCUCUAGGAGGAGCCCGCGGCUGAUUAGCUAGUUGGUGAGGUAAUGGCUCACCAAGGCAACGAACAGUAUCCGGUCUGAGAGGACGGGCGGACACACUGGAACUGAGACACGGUCCAGACUCCUACGGGAGGCAGCAGUGGGGAAUUUUUGGCAAUGGGGGCAACCCUGACCAAGCAACGCCGCGUGGGUGAUGAAGUCUCUUGGGACGUAAAACCCUUUCGACGGGGACGAAACCGCAAGGUUGACGGUACCCGUAGAAGAAGCCCCGGCUAACUCCGUGCCAGCCGCCGCGGUAA